AAAAAAUGACGUCUUCAACAGAGAGAUUGUCGAAUUUUCAAACCACAAAAAAUAUUCAUGCGGAAGAGGAGGAGAAGUUACUGUCAAGCGCCGAGAUGGACGAGUUAUCUUCGAUGGUCGGUCAGAAGCUGGAAGACAAAUAAUAUGGCACCAUCAUCCAGAAACUACGGCCAACCACAAAUGUAACCAUGCGCGAAAUCCCCAAAGAGCUUCAAGAUAAUGAUGAUGGGGAGUCUUACUACGAGCCUAAACUCAUUUCCAUCGGGCCAUACCAUCUUAAGAACGAAAAGCUUGAUCCCAUGCAAAAACUGAAGUUGAAAUACCUCAGUGAUUUGCUUGCUCGUAACAAGAAGAAUAAUGUGGAUGCGUACAUGGAUGCGAUCAAAAAUCAGUAUGAUAAUGAAAAACAAAAGUAUUGCGGAUUUGAGGAUUUAAAAAUCUCUAAAAAAGAAUUUCUGAAGAUGUUGUUUUUGGAUGGAUGUUUUCUUGUUGAAUUACUGUUGAAACAUAAUGAAGGUUUGCUGAUGUUUUCUGGGAUAGAUAUUGAUGACCUCAAUCAUGAUUUGAUGCUUAUCGAGAAUCAGGUACCUUUUUCUGUUCUCAAUUGUAUAUAUAAAAAUACAGAAUGGGAAUUACAAAAUAAAUUCAGCCUCUUUGAUUUGGCGGUUCAUUACAUACACAACGAAAAAAAGAAAAGUCUUGUGUAUAAAGAAGUCGAUAACGUCGACCAUCUUCUGCAUCUUCUUUAUAUAUGCCGGUCAACCAGUGAGCUUAAAUUAAUAAAUAGUGAUAUUAAGGAGAAUAUUAACAAAUGUUGGCGGUUUUUUACAACACAUUAUGGAUUUGACUAUGUGUUCUAUUGCAUCAUCUGCGCAUUUUGGAUAUCGAUUAGCUUCGACCUUGAAGAUGGCAAAUCUGAGAUGGGCAAAGAAUUUUUAAUAUACACGAUUUCCUUCUCGACUGUAGUUUUUGUACUGUGGAUGAAGAUUGAUAAAUGGAGUUCGUUUUUCUUGGUGAUAGUUGUGUAUAAAAUUAUCAGUUUAUUCGAAAAUCGACUCAAAUUUAACACAUCUUGGUGGACUGCAAAAGACUUGGGAAAGACUUCUUCUUUAGUACAUGGUCCUACAUCUAUCCCUUCAGUCAAAGAAAUCACUUAUGCUGGGGUACGAUGGUCAGGGUCAGUUACCAGCCACUCAAAGCCAUACAAGAUAUCCUUUUCUUCGAAUACGAAUACGAUGAAGGCCGGAUCGAUGCAGAUAAAUGACAAUAGCUUCUCCGAGUUUGAAAAUUUGUUGAUCUAUGAACAAGUCUACUUCAUUCCUAGAUUGGAUAGAAAUCAGAUUAAAGAAGAGUUUUCGUAUAUUUCAUCUUACACAUUGUAUAUGAGAAGCAUGAUGGAAAAAGUUGAAGAUGUUAAAUUGCUAGAAAAACAUGGGGUUUUCAACAUUUUAUCGAGUUCCAUUGAAGCUGAGAAAAUCAGGAAUUUCUUUCAUAAAAAACGGUCAUGGUUGGUGCUUACCAAAUCCCAACAGGAAAAAAUCGGAGUUCAAUUUGAAGCACUCAAAAAAGUCGUCCAUAAAGGUCACUCCAAACGUAGAACCAGACUUGUAAAAGAAUACUUCGUCAGCUUACUCGUGGUAUUUGCUUUUUUUGGAUUCCUGAUUGUUAAUGUUUUUACAUGCGUAUCAAUGAUCUACGCAAUAAAGUCAUACACUCAGGAUAAAAAGAACUGAAAAGAAGAAAAUAAAAAAGACUCAAGAAGGUUUUUGUGCUUGGAUUCAAUUAUACGUUUUAUUUGAAAGUUUGAUGUUUUUCAUGUAUUUUUUCAUUUUAAUGAUUUGGCUUUUCAAAUGAAUAAAAUUGACGUAUCUUAUUAUUAUAUAAUUAGACUAUAUAACUAAUGUGACAGAGCCAAUAAGCUUCUUGCUUAAUUUUUUUACUUAUGUUUUUUUUUAAAUUUCUAUACUCUUUGUAAAUUGAACAUUGACCUUAUUUUUUAAUGAAAUUUAAUUGUUUAAAAAAAAAAGUUUGUAAAGAUCAUAUUGUACAGGCCCGGAGAUUAUAUUAACUUAUCACAGUUAUUAUUAAUUUUUAUGAAAAAUCAUAAUUCGAAUCUCGUUAAAUUAAGUGUACUUUAAUUAAAUUUUCACUGCAAUAUAACCAUUGAUUGUAAGAAUAUAAAUGUGUAACAUAUUAUAAUUAGUAAUGAAUAUAUAUUAUAUAAUUACUGUUAAAAUAAAGAUAUGGAAAUUAGAUGAUUAAUCUUCUUAUACUAGUGUUAAUUAAAGACUUGUUGCUGAUCAAUGGAAGUAAAUCAUCAUGUUGCAGCUCAAGUCCUGAAGAGUAAUUAUAGGGUUAAUUAAGUUUAAUUCUAUUUGUAAUUUCAUGUUGUAAAUUAAAUGAUCCAGAGAUCAUGUAUUAAGCCCUAACCUAUACUAUGGGCCCAACUCGACAGUUCCAAUAUAAAAAAGCGUCUAGGGUUUCCACUUCUUCCAAUCUUUUCCUCUUCUUUCUUUUUCGUCAACUUUUAAAACCUUCACUACAAAAAAAAGGACAUUGUAUGACGGCCUUUAGAUGAUGGAUUUCCGCCAUCAAUAAUUCCUUUUUUUUGAUUGGGGACAUCCGCCAUCAAUUGUUGAAGUCCGUCGAGAAAAGAUUUUGGCUCGACGGCGGUUCAAAUUUAUUUUCGAUGGCGGAUUUUCGCCAUCUAAAACAUUCCGCCCAAAAUUUCGAAUCUCCCCCAAUAUUUAACCCGAUUACCCGAUUAAAUUAACUUAACAUGGCGGACAUCCGUCAUGUUAUGUUUUCGGGGAAUCGGCCGGAAAAAGCCCGCCCAAAUUUCGAUUGGGCGGACUUUUCCGUCUAUGACGGCGAAACUUAAUGCCCCAUAUCGCAGACAGAACGUGACUAUUCCCAAACCGCCUGAUGUACUUAUGAUGGCGGAUUUCUACCAUCUUAUGUUACAGACUUACAGAGAUAGCCGGCGGACAUCCUCCAUCAAUAUAAUUAACCGCCAUCGAUGAAUUGACGCCAACAUUUUUCGCACCAUAUUUUACAUGGCGGAUGUCCGCCAUCUUAUAAUUUUCAAUUCCCGCGAAAAUUUUCAGAUUAGAUGGCGGAAAUCCGUCAUGUAUAUUUUUUUUGGUGGGAAAUGAGGAUGAAUAAUAGAUGACGGUCUUUAGAUGGAGGUUAUGGGGUUAUAAUGACGGUCAUUUCCAUGACGGUCUUUAGAUGGCGGAUUUCCUCCAUUGAUCACUUAUGAUGGCGGAAAUCCGCCAUCUAAAGACCGUCAUAUGAGGUCUUAUUUCUUGUAGUGCUUGUCUAGAAUUUUAAUUUCAUGGUAUCAGAACCUAAGUUGCAAUUUUCCGAUCAAAUGAGAACGUGAUGUCAAAGGAUGGAAAGAUCAUCGUGGCUACUAAGUUGAAAGUUAUGGGAGGCCCUGAGUUUGUGUCGCCAGGACAGGAAAAGCAUUUACUAUGUGCAUGCAUCCGACAUGUUGGGGUCGUGUUUAGUGAAGAAGAAGCUCAUAGGCGAAACCAACUUCUACCGAUGGCAAUGUGCUAUGAAGGUGGUGCUAGUGGCUCGACAGAAGCUAGGGUUUACAACGGACGACAUCAUCAAACCAACGGUCGACUCCAAGGAUCACGAGAUGUGGGAAACAUGUAACAGACUUGUGCUGUCGUGGCUUUAUUUCAACAUUGUUGAACCAGAGAUAGAGACCACCUUGAUUUACACGGACUCGGGGAAAGUGGCUUGGAAGGACUUGGAGGAUUGUUACAAGAUCGCGAACAAAGCCUCAGAUCUUCCAGAUGAAGUAUAAUAUAAGCAUCAUGUCUCAAGGCAUGAGGAUAAUGUAUGUAUUUAUUUUCAAAAACUUAAGAGUCUUUGAGAUCGGUUACAUUCUUGCAUUAAGAAUCCAGUCUGUACCUGUGGGAAAUGUACAUGUGAUGUACUCAAGCAGUUUUCGGAGUUAGAGGCUGAAGACAGAGUACUGCAGUUUCUGCUUGGGUUGCAUGAAGGAUUUAUGCCGAUCCGAGGACAUAUAUUGUCUUUCAAUGAAAUACUUUGAGGAUUUAUCAAAAAAACUUUAUAUAAAAUAUUAAAAAACCCGAUUCCUAAAAUAUAUGGUCUUGGGUCGUUUCAAAUCCUGAAUCCGCCACUAAUACCAGCUAUGGAGUUAGAAUUGGAAUUUAGAGACGACUCAAAAUAAUUAAAGAGAUCGAGCGUCCUAAAUAUUGAACUAAGAAUGGAACUAUAAGUUGAUAGAAAUAAAAAAACUUUCUACACAAAAGAUGAGGUUGAAAUGUGGAUAUUGGUCAAGCUUCGACCAUAUCCACUACAAGAAAACAGGACUACGUCCACGGGCUUAGCCACUGAUUACCAAAAACAUCCACGGCAUAAUGUGUGGCUAAAUCAAAUGGCCGUGGUUAAUAUUUAGUCACAAAAAAUCAAUUUUGUGGUUCAAAAUCAAUAGCCACCAAACCUACGACCACGUCCGCUCCCGUGGCUAAUUCCCGUAGCUAAAUCAAUUUAGCCACGGAUUUGAUCAAAGGGCCACUGAUCUUGGCCGUGGACUUAGACCUGUUUUCUUAUAGUAAUCGUCAAUUGACAGUAGCUUGUCGAUCGUCUACACAAAAAAUUAUCUAACGUCAUCAAACAUUCACAAUUCGGAUUCUUGCCGUCUUUUUCCUUUUCUUUUUUGUUGUUGUCUUCUUCACUCCAAUGUUAGACAUUAAAAAUUAUUUUUCAAACAGAUUUAGAGAAGAUCAAAGAAUUAUAGGAUUUCUUCAAAAAUAAACCACACAUGAAAAGCAAUAAAAUUAUAAUAAUGAAAGGGAGCGAGGUUAACCUACCUUUAACUAAAAGUUAGGUUAAUUCUUAAUCUCCCUUCAUUUUGCAAUCAACAGCCUAAAUUCAAUUUCGGUUUUUAAUUUAAUUAUAAAACCUUAAGAUUUAAAAAUUACAAAUUAAGGAUUGCAAAAUUUAAAAAUUAAAUAAUGCAAAAGUAAAAAAUACUUCGAUAAAAUUACUCAUAUUAUUAGUCUUAUUAAUCGUAUACAUAAUUCUAAAAACCCUAAAAACUAAAAAAUCAAGAAGCAAAGUGAAAUAAAAUCAAAAGAUGAACUCACCGGAGAAGGAAAACGAGUGUUGAAUGGAGAAUUAACUCAUGUCGGAGUUACAUUGAUACAAUGCGAUAGGGAGAGCUAGAGAGUAUAAUGCGAUGAAAAACGAAGAGAAAGGAUGGACGACUUUUAUUUUUGAUAUGAUAACUUACAAUGAAAGUAAAAUAGGUUUUUUUUAAUAAAAAAAUCACCCCUAUAUUUCAAGCUAACAAGUUAAGGUUGAAUGGAUAAGUUUUGGUUUGGGCUUGCUUCAGUUGCUUGAUGGAUGUAUCAAGCUUAGUUAGUAAUCAAGCUUGAGUUUGGUUCAUUAGUGAUGAAGCACGUACGGAAUCUGCUACCAGUGGGCUCGCGGGGUGGCGAGAUGAGCCGGAGGCUGUGGAGUCCACGACGCGCGCUCUACGUCAAACACCUGCAGAAGAGGAGGGGAAUCGGCGACUCACGUGGGAGUAGGCGAUUCGGGCUCCUUGGUUGCUCUAGUGUGGAGUGUGAGUCAAGAGAGUAAGUUGUGAAUGGAGGACACCCCUCGUUUCCAUUCAAUGGAGUGGGGCCCACCUCAUUAUGGUGCCCUAUUGAAGGGUGCCAUAAUGGGGUGGGCCCGCCGUGUAACGGCUGGGAGUCGGCGACUCAGGUGUGGGAGUCGCCGAUCCAGGAGUGGAGUCGCCGAUUCCUUGGAGGCCAAGUCCUCGGUCUACCAGACCCGAGAUCCCUGGCUGGAAUCGGCGAUUCACCCUUGGAGUCGGCGACUUGGUAGUCCCAGUCGGCGACUCCCAAGUGUUAACUUGGGCUCUUGACGUAGACACGUGCUCCGCACCGUGGAAGCCUUUCCGGGGGUUCAGCCUAUAGCGACGGAACCUUAUUCCUUGUUUGAAGGGCGUUGCUGGGAGUGACUGACGUAAUCAGGCAUGUCUCACCAGUACUCCCCCCUGAAGAGAGUAUGGCUGAACACCCGUGUACCGCCAAUUAGCUUACAUGCUUGAGCCUAAACAAGCCCAAGCUCAAGUCAAGCCCGAGCUGCUUGUAAGCUUAGGCUUAAAUUUGCAUCUCUAAUCACCACUUAAAUUAAAUCACUUUGAUUUAGACCAAUUUCAUUAAUUUUAUAAUUAAAAAAUAUAUUCAAAUUGUCCUUAAUUAAUCAACUACUAUAUAACAAUCAACAACUCAUACCAAAAUUAAUUAAAUAUAUAAAAAAUGUUUAAGGUGAUUACCAAUAUAUUAAGAAUAUAUGUGUGCACCACUAAGUUUAAUGAUAAUCAUUGGAAUUUAAAAAAUAUAGUUUACAAAAAAUAUAUUAUUUUUAAAUAAAUCAAUGUAUUUUUUAAUUUCUAUAGUAAUUAAUUACCAUUUUUAAUACUAAGUUAAUUAUCAAGCAAAGUUAUAAGACAACGUUAAUAGGUUUUCUGAGAUAGUCUUUAAAGAGGUCAUUAAAACAUCAGUCUCUCCUUUGAUCUGAAAUAGAUGUCGGUCUUUAGAUGACGGUUAUGAAGUUAUAACGGCGGUCAUUGUCAUUACUACGGUCUUUAGAUGGCGGAUUUCCGCCAUUGAUCACUUAUAUAUGACGGCGGAAAUCCGCUAUCUAAAGACCGUCAUACAAGGUCUUAUUUCUUGUAGUGUAAGAAGAGUUGUUGUUACCUUUUGGAAAUAUCUACGAUAAAAGUAUGAGAGAUGCAGGUAUUAUUAUUAUUGGAGGUUGGUAUCUUAGGCAGAGAUAUUAUUUUUAUUAUUGAUUUAUUUAACACUCUUCUUUAAUUUAUUAUUAUUGAUUUAUUUAAGACUCUUCUUUAAUUUAUUAUUAUUGAUGGGGGUCCUCACCUAGGCAGAAAUAUUCAUUUUCAAAUCUAUUAUUGUUAAUACAGGUAGAUCUAAAAUAUUUAAAAAUCUGAGAUUUGUCUAUAAAUGGGAACAUUUUCUAUACACUAUUUCAACAAAAAAGAAAAAGAAAAAAUGACGUCUUCAACAGAGAGACUGUCGAAUUUUCAAACCACAAUAAAUAUUCAUACAGAAGAAGAGGGGAAUCUACUGUCAAACGCCGAGAUGGACGAGUUAUCUUCGAUGGUCGGUCAGAAGAUGGAAGACAAAUAUUGCACCAUCAUCCAGAAACUACAGCCAACCACAAAUGUAACCAUGUGCGAAAUCCCCAAAGAGCUUCAAGAUAAUGAUGAUGGGGAGUCUUACUACGAGCCUAAAUUCAUUUCCAUCGGGCCAUACCAUCUGAAGAACGAAAAGCUUGAUUCCAUGCAAAAACUGAAGUUGAAAUACCUCAGUGAUUUGCUUGCUCGUAACAAGAAGAAUAAUGUGGAUGCGUACAUGGAUGCGAUCAAAAAUCAGUAUGAUAAUGAAAAACAAAAGUAUUGCGGAU
This 7479-nucleotide long non-coding RNA is filed under the name Zostera marina. Its description in RNAcentral is "long non-coding RNA (ZMAR_LNC003738)". The record is from RNAcentral. Lineage: Eukaryota; Viridiplantae; Streptophyta; Magnoliopsida; Alismatales; Zosteraceae.